CGAACGGGUGAGUAACACGUGAGCAACCUGCCCUGGACUCUGGGAUAAGCGCUGGAAACGGCGUCUAAUACUGGAUAUGAGACGUGAUCGCAUGGUCGUGUUUGGAAAGAUUUUUCGGUCUGGGAUGGGCUCGCGGCCUAUCAGCUUGUUGGUGAGGUAAUGGCUCACCAAGGCGUCGACGGGUAGCCGGCCUGAGAGGGUGACCGGCCACACUGGGACUGAGACACGGCCCAGACUCCUACGGGAGGCAGCAGUGGGGAAUAUUGCACAAUGGGCGGAAGCCUGAUGCAGCAACGCCGCGUGAGGGAUGACGGCCUUCGGGUUGUAAACCUCUUUUAGCAGGGAAGAAGCGAAAGUGACGGUACCUGCAGAAAAAGCGCCGGCUAACUACGUGCCAGCAGCCGCGGUAAUACGUAGGGCGCAAGCGUUAUCCGGAAUUAUUGGGCGUAAAGAGCUCGUAGGCGGUUUGUCGCGUCUGCUGUGAAAUCCCGAGGCUCAACCUCGGGCCUGCAGUGGGUACGGGCAGACUAGAGUGCGGUAGGGGAGAUUGGAAUUCCUGGUGUAGCGGUGGAAUGCGCAGAUAUCAGGAGGAACACCGAUGGCGAAGGCAGAUCUCUGGGCCGUAACUGACGCUGAGGAGCGAAAGGGUGGGGAGCAAACAGGCUUAGAUACCCUGGUAGUCCACCCCGUAAACGUUGGGAACUAGUUGUGGGGACCAUUCCACGGUUUCCGUGACGCAGCUAACGCAUUAAGUUCCCCGCCUGGGGAGUACGGCCGCAAGGCUAAAACUCAAAGGAAUUGACGGGGACCCGCACAAGCGGCGGAGCAUGCGGAUUAAUUCGAUGCAACGCGAAGAACCUUACCAAGGCUUGACAUAUACGAGAACGGGCCAGAAAUGGUCAACUCUUUGGACACUCGUAAACAGGUGGUGCAUGGUUGUCGUCAGCUCGUGUCGUGAGAUGUUGGGUUAAGUCCCGCAACGAGCGCAACCCUCGUUCUAUGUUGCCAGCACGUAAUGGUGGGAACUCAUGGGAUACUGCCGGGGUCAACUCGGAGGAAGGUGGGGAUGACGUCAAAUCAUCAUGCCCCUUAUGUCUUGGGCUUCACGCAUGCUACAAUGGCCGGUACAAAGGGCUGCAAUACCGUGAGGUGGAGCGAAUCCCAAAAAGCCGGUCCCAGUUCGGAUUGAGGUCUGCAACUCGACCUCAUGAAGUCGGAGUCGCUAGUAAUCGCAGAUCAGCAACGCUGCGGUGAAUACGUUCCCGGGUCUUGUACACACCGCCCGUCAAGUCAUGAAAG
This 1299-nucleotide ribosomal RNA is filed under the name Microbacterium testaceum. RNAcentral's name for it is "bacterial SSU rRNA". It matches the Rfam family "Bacterial small subunit ribosomal RNA", at positions 99 to 1410 of the family's 1533-position model. The record is from RNAcentral. Lineage: Bacteria; Bacillati; Actinomycetota; Actinomycetes; Micrococcales; Microbacteriaceae.